This 301-nucleotide ribosomal RNA is filed under the name uncultured bacterium. RNAcentral's name for it is "partial 16S ribosomal RNA". It matches the Rfam family "Bacterial small subunit ribosomal RNA", at positions 509 to 807 of the family's 1533-position model. The record is from RNAcentral.
CAGCAGCCGCGGGAAUACGGAGGAUGCAAGCGUUAUCCGGAAUGAUUGGGCGUAAAGCGUCUGUAGGUGGCUUUUCAAGUCCGCCGUCAAAUCCCAGGGCUCAACCCUGGACAGGCGGUGGAAACUACCAAGCUGGAGUACGGUAGGGGCAGAGGGAAUUUCCGGUGGAGCGGUGAAAUGCGUAGAGAUCGGAAAGAACACCAACGGUGAAAGCACUCUGUUGGGCCGACACUGACACUGAGAGACGAAAGCUAGGGGAGAAAAUGGGAUUAGAUACCCCCGUAGUCCCUGUCUCUUAUAC